GUGAAAUUAGCGCUGUGGAACCACCCGAUCCCAUCCCGAACUCGGAAGUGAAACGCAGCUGCGCCGAUGGUAGUGUGGCUCAAGCCAUGCGAGAGUAGGUCAUCGCCAGGG
Molecule: ribosomal RNA, 111 nt
Filed under: Stenotrophomonas maltophilia
Lineage: Bacteria; Pseudomonadati; Pseudomonadota; Gammaproteobacteria; Lysobacterales; Lysobacteraceae
Source: RNAcentral